Small nucleolar RNA from Teleopsis dalmanni, 81 nucleotides. RefSeq annotates it as small nucleolar RNA Me28S-Cm3227. Lineage: Eukaryota; Metazoa; Arthropoda; Insecta; Diptera; Diopsidae. The record is from RefSeq and is a predicted model, not a curated record. The transcript has a single exon.
UAUUUAAUGAUGAUAAGUUAAUACUGAAGUUUUAUUUUGCUGAUUUUAACUUAAAUUAAACCAAAAGGAUUCUGACAAAUU